This 27-nucleotide non-coding RNA is filed under the name Mus musculus (house mouse). RNAcentral also lists the same sequence under 1 other name. Lineage: Eukaryota; Metazoa; Chordata; Mammalia; Rodentia; Muridae. The record is from RNAcentral.
GCACUAAGUUCGGCAUCAAUAUGGUGA